RNAcentral lists this ribosomal RNA (516 nucleotides) under uncultured Bacteroidota bacterium. RNAcentral's name for it is "bacterial SSU rRNA". It matches the Rfam family "Bacterial small subunit ribosomal RNA", at positions 381 to 898 of the family's 1533-position model. The record is from RNAcentral. Lineage: Bacteria; Pseudomonadati; Bacteroidota.
GACUGACCCAGCCAUGCCGCGUGCAGGAAGACGGCCCUCUGGGUUGUAAACUGCUUUUAUCUGGGAAGAAAAAGUCCAUGCGUGGAAAAUUGCCGGUACCAGAUGAAUAAGCACCGGCUAACUCCGUGCCAGCAGCCGCGGUAAUACGGAGGGUGCAAGCGUUGUCCGGAUUUAUUGGGUUUAAAGGGUGCGUAGGCGGCUGAAUAAGUCAGCGGUGAAAGACUUCGGCUUAACCGGAGCAGUGCCGUUGAUACUGUUUAGCUUGAGUGUUGGAGGGGUACAUGGAAUUGAUGGUGUAGCGGUGAAAUGCAUAGAUACCAUCAGGAACACCGAUAGCGAAGGCAUUGUACUGGCCAACAACUGACGCUGAGGCACGAAAGUGUGGGGAUCGAACAGGAUUAGAUACCCUGGUAGUCCACACCGUAAACGAUGAUUACUCGCUGUUAUGGUGUAUGCUGUAGCGGCCAAGCGAAAGCGUUAAGUAAUCCACCUGGGGAGUACGCCGGCAACGGUGAA